UUAAAUUAGGCUUUUAUUCUGAAAAAUGUAGUUGGUAACUCGUUGUGUUGCUAUUUGACUUGAUAGAAGAAGUUUACGGCAGGCGUUUCUGUGUGAAUGACAGUCGAGUGCGCGUGUGUCUGCGGGAUAUUACAAUAGCUUGUGUUUGGCGGUAGUUUAACAGCUAUCAGAAAGAAGUUGUUUCAAGCAGGACAGCGUCGGGCUUGGGAGUGAGACUCCCAUUAAACUAAGCAACCCCAGAUUGCUACAGAAGAGAGCUUUGAGCUUCCAGAAAGAAUUCACCUACGACGAAAAAGACGACCCAGCUAAAAGCAAAGAUAUAGAUGUUAGUCUCUUGGCCAAUCUCCCAAAGGUGAGUAAGGGUUUUCUUUUGCUUUAUUUUCUGCCUGCUUGCAAAUUGGUCCUCACCAUGUCAACCUUUUCAGGGAUUUUGAAAGUCACUGUUGUGCAACAGC
This 455-nucleotide long non-coding RNA is filed under the name Cottoperca gobio. RNAcentral's name for it is "lncRNA (ENSCGOG00000022807.1)". Lineage: Eukaryota; Metazoa; Chordata; Actinopteri; Perciformes; Bovichtidae. The record is from RNAcentral.